UCAUAAUAAUUAAGCAGCUUCACAAAACAAUGAAACGUUGUGUGGUGAAAAAUGCCACAUCUCUACAGAUUGAAUUUAAUCCAGGAAACUAGUGACAGCAGAAACUUAGUUAUAAAUACAAAGCAGGUUUUUAUUAAUUUACUUGGUGAAUACAGAAAAUUCUCAUUAUCUUUUUUUUUUCCUACAUUCAUUGCUUUCCCAAAGCCCAUCAAGGAUUUUUUUUACCUAACUGCAAGAUGCAAUUAGCAUAAUAAAUGAUGAGGACAAGAUCUGUGCUCCAAUUAAUUCAGGAGUAAAGGGCCGAUCAGAUGCAAAUUGCCCCCCAAAUCACACUUAGCCACUGGAGUACUAUGUUUGGCUUCAUUGGCAAAGCAAUAGCCUCUGGUCUCCUUGUUCCCCUGGCUAACAGGUUUGAAUCCUGCCCCAGGCAAGACUCUUACAGUCUGGCUUCUCCUACUGAUUAAGAUAAAUUUCUCAUGUGUUUUAAAGAAGUAACUAUUAAGUUAAAUGGCCACAGAGAAAAACUAAUUGUCCUUCUUCAUACACUAUUCCUCGUAAGUUCAACCCCUGGCCACAUUUUUUCUCUUGAAUUCCUUAACUUUACUUGCAUAUCUACUUAUUCAUAAGCCUGGCUGUUUCCCAACAACUUAACCCACUUAAUCUGAAUUUGUUAUCUCUCUACAUGAAUUCAUCAUUUGUAUUUUCAUUCCAUGCUCACGCCACCUUUACAUAUGCUCCAAAAUCACAGACUUAGUUACUUCAUAAAGCUCUCUAGUCAUAUCAAAGGUCACCCAGGUCCAAACAAUAUACAGCUCUUGCCUUCCCUAAGUACUUCUCUAUUAUUAAAAUUUAAUGCAAAAAUCUGAUUCCUACUAUCUUUUUUUCUAUUUGAAUGCUUCCUGUUUCUUCCUUACACAUCAUCAAAAUCUAUUAAAUUAUUUUCCCUUUCAGAAUUUCCAAAGAAUUGUAAUCUGCCAAUUGAUGUAUCCAUGAACCCCAAGAACAAAUACUGUAUUUCCCGCCAUAUAAGACGCACCUAUAAUUUAGCAAGAUAUAUUUAGAAAAAAUAAAAAACUCCACAUUUUCCCUAAACUUAAUGUGUAUGCAGUAUUACAUGUGGCCACCUUACUUACAAUAAUUAUGACUAUGACACCGUAUGUUGCUUUGUGUCCUUCUCUGUGUUCAAAGUGUUCCACUGUUGGUUACUUUGAAAUGGUAAACAAAAGGGUUGGUUAGCUGAUUCAACCACUGCGCAGUGUGCAGGCAGUAACUUUCACUGAGCUACUGAGGGAGCUAAUCACACAGAAAUGCUACGUUCGAUGGGCAAUCUUGACUUUCAGGGACCGUAUACCUACUUUCAAGUAGAAAUAGGUGUUGAUUAAUUUCUUUCAAUCACAUUAUGUUGUAACAUAGUUAUUUUUGUAAUGAGAAACAAAAAUGCUUUUACAGGAAACACUUUAGUCAUCCUUGGAUAUCCGCUCUUUUGAACAUACAUCACAGAAAACGUCAACUGACUGGGUCACUGCACAGCAGAAAUACUAGCUCCAGACUAAUCCGCCCAAGUCCGCCCCACAAUCACUGAACAGUCAUGUCAGGCAGCACCUUGCUCCAUGGAUAUUGUUCCUGAGUAAUAGAUGCUUUAACCCAGUAGCAGCGACGGGCCAAAUUUGUGGCUUCACCGUGUAGCAGCGAUGGCCCAAAAUUGUGCCAUGAUAUUUACACCCAAAAUAGAUGAUACAUAAUCUGAUCAGAAAUGCUUUGAUAUAUAUUAUAAAAUGGUUUGUGUGAGGGGUGUUUUUUUCUCAUUUUUCUCGCUUGGAGGGACCACUAAGAAACAUGAUCCCCGCUACUACCGGGUUAACCAUCACCGUCAAGGUACCUGGCACACUGGUGACUGGUGCGCCGUGGUGGUGUUGUCUUGUGUGUUGUGUUUCGUGUUCACGCUGCGCCACGUGACCUAUACGGUUUUAUCGCUGCAUGUUUCCUCCUCCUCUCUUCUGCUUAUUCAGACUUUUCUUUUCUAUUGCAUCACACUAUUCAUUAUUUAAAUCAAUCAAAAUUUGUACCUUAGGCAUAUACCAAGCUGGGGUAACUUUUUGGGCAUUUUCUGAGUGAAAAGUGCGAGUUACAUGCUGCAAAAUAUGGCAUAUUUCAUUCUGGGGACAUCUGGGAACUCUUGUGUCAAAUGGAGGUGUUUUGGGUGUUGGUUCUGUACCAGUAACAAUAACCCCUAGGCCUACCAAAACCUAACCAUCAGCGUAUAAGAUGCAGGGUGAUUUUUCAAAUCUUAUUUUUUUUUAAAAAGUGUGUCUUAUAUGGCGGAAAUACAGUAUGUGGUGCACAAAACAGAAACUACAAGAUAUGGUGAUAUCAUGCGCUCAUUACAAAACAAUGAACAGGCGCUGUACAGAGAUGAUUUUGGCCUCCUUAUGCAAUCAAUAGAACCCAGCCUAAGGAUCAGAAAAUUAUUGCCAAUGUUAAACUGAUAUCAUAUAAAGAAAUGGACAGUCAAACCUAAAAGGAGAUUUCAAAGAGAUUAAAACAAAUGAGAGCAUGGCUAGCAAUGCAGACGAGGCAGUCACAGUCUCAACCUUUGUCCCUUGUUCUCUCUCCACCCUCUCUCUCAAAAUGAUCCUGGAUUUCUGACUAGCAUAUCCUUUGGAAAAUAAAAACUCAAUGCCUGUGAGCCUGUCAAUUAACUGGUGCCAGACUGGAAUCAGCUAACAAGGCUUUGAUCAAGUUGUAGAAAAGGCAGAGGUAACGGUGGCAGUGGUAGGAGCUGAGCAGGUAGAGGAGGGAUGUGACGAAUAUUAGCCUUCCCUCCUCAGCCUCUGAUACCACAAUAAUGCCUUCAUGUACAAAAGGCAACCUCAACACUCAUUUUAAAUUUUGUUGCAUGCAUUAACAUUUGAGUUACUAAUUAUGAAUUCUCCUGCAAUAAAUUAUGCUAUGUUUUAAGGGAUGAAAAAAGUGAUGCUGGCUAAGUCCUUUGGCACCAAGUAGACUUUUUUCUAUUAGAUACCCCUUUGGUUUGACAAUUCUGCAUUGGCAAGUUUUUUUUGCUGAUGAUCUUACUAGCUGCCUAACUGGAGGGCUUAUUGUCUUUUAGUUUCCCAUCUGAGGCUAUAUUUCAUCAUCAUCUAAAAAAAAAAAAAAAAAAAAAAAAAAAGUCACAAUCUCCUCUAUUGACUCUAGGUUCUAUUUUACUAAUGUGCACCACACAGUGAGGGACGGACAAGCUAAUCUUCAAAGUGGGCGGAGUUUUUGCUAAUCUUUCCUCACUGUUUUCUAACAGUUACCUUGCUGCAGCACCAGUAACCCUAAAUUAACCUCAUUCAUUAUGGUAUGGCUGUAGUGAAAAGUACAAUAAAAUCCCAAAAUUAAAUUUUUAGCUUUAAAAUCUCAAGCAAAUUUAUCCAAACACUAUUUUUCAAGUAUCUAAAGAGCUUAACAUUUGCUGGCAUCAAAGACUAAUAUAUCUGAAAGAAAAAAAAGUUAUACCCACAGUUGCAAGUCUAAGCAGGCCACAUACAGAAAUGGCAGGUAAUAUAAUACAAAACAUGGCACAUCAGCAGAUAAACUCCUACUACUCCCUUCUCUCUCUAGCAUGUGUUAAUAAAAAUAUAUCUUUCACUUAACUACUAUUGAUAGGCUUACACAUUUUCAAAGAAUAAUUACUUAACCCUUUCAGAUAACAUGAGCUUUAAAACAUGUGUAGCAAAAUGUACAAGACAUGAGAAGAUAUACAAAUACAUAAUGAAUAUGAGGCAUUACAUGAUUGAAAACAGUAGCUGAAGUGUUGAGUGGGUGAAGAUAAGGAGGUUGGGUUGCUUGGCUGAAGUGAAGAGGACAGUAUAAGGAGCCUGAUGAUGCCACUGGCACAGUAUUCUCAUAACUUUUCUGAUUCUAAGGAAUGUUGCUUCAUAAGCGUAUUCGUAGUAUGCAAAUCACCCGAUGUGCCAGACAGGACUUACGACAAUGUCCUGGAUGAAUUUACUCAUAGAUCACACAUAACACCCCAUGACAAAGGUUUGGUGAACAACUCAAGCAGUGAACUGAAAUGGUAAACUUUGGAAAGGCAGCAGCAUAUUUUUCCAAGCAUUAAAUAAGAAUGAAGGCUAAAGUAAAGAGAUGGUUUAAAUGAAAAGCCAUCAAAAUCUGUUGUACUAAUAUUGAUUAUGACAAAAAUAUGACAAUAAAUAACUUUUAUAAGAAUAUAAAGUUUUAGAAAAAAAAAAAAAAUACUGCACUGUCUACUGUGACAGCACGCAUGGAUGAUUCCAUAAUAAUUCAUGAUAGCUUUUCACCUUGUAUCAAGGUUUUCUCUACAAUACAGAA
Molecule: long non-coding RNA, 4338 nt
Organism: Eriocheir sinensis (Chinese mitten crab)
Lineage: Eukaryota; Metazoa; Arthropoda; Malacostraca; Decapoda; Varunidae
Exons: 3
Source: RefSeq, a predicted model, not a curated record